This 336-nucleotide ribosomal RNA is filed under the name uncultured Pseudomonadota bacterium. RNAcentral's name for it is "bacterial SSU rRNA". It matches the Rfam family "Bacterial small subunit ribosomal RNA", at positions 29 to 351 of the family's 1533-position model. Lineage: Bacteria; Pseudomonadati; Pseudomonadota. The record is from RNAcentral.
AGCGAACGCUGGCGGCGUGCCUAACACAUGCAAGUCGAACGUGAACGGGGGCAACCCUUAGUAAAGUGGCGUACGGGUGAGUAACACGUAGGUAAUCUACCCCAGAGUCCGGAAUAACCUGCCGAAAGGCGGGCUAAUACGGGAUAGAGCGACGGAAUCCGUAAUUGGGUUUUUCGGGAAAGGGAGCCUGCAAGGGCCCUCGCUCUGGGAUGAGCCUGCGUCUCAUUAGCUAGUUGGUGGGGUAAUGGCUCACCAAGGCUUUGAUGGGUAGCUGGUCUGAGAGGAUGAUCAGCCACACUGGAACUGAAACACGGUCCAGACUCCUACGGGAGGCUG